This 492-nucleotide ribosomal RNA is filed under the name uncultured bacterium. RNAcentral describes it as "partial 16S ribosomal RNA". It matches the Rfam family "Bacterial small subunit ribosomal RNA", at positions 29 to 507 of the family's 1533-position model. The record is from RNAcentral.
AUUGAACGCUGGCGGCAUGCUUUACACAUGCAAGUCGAACGGUAACAGGCCUUCGGGUGCUGACGAGUGGCGAACGGGUGAGUAAUGCAUCGGAACGUACCCAGAGGUGGGGGAUAACGCAGCGAAAGCUGUGCUAAUACCGCAUGUGAUCUGAGGAUGAAAGCGGGGGACCGAGCAGCAAUGUUUGGCCUCGCGCCUUUGGAGCGGCCGAUGUCGGAUUAGCUAGUUGGUGGGGUAAAGGCCUACCAAGGCGACGAUCCGUAGCUGGUCUGAGAGGACGACCAGCCACACUGGGACUGAGACACGGCCCAGACUCCUACGGGAGGCAGCAGUGGGGAAUUUUGGACAAUGGGCGCAAGCCUGAUCCAGCAAUGCCGCGUGCGGGAAGAAGGCCUUCGAGUUGUAAACCGCUUUUGGCAGGAACGAAACGGUGUCCGCUAAUACCGGGCGCUAAUGACGGUACCUGCAGAAUAAGCACCGGCUAACUACGUG